UGGGGAAUCUUCCGCAAUGGACGAAAGUCUGACGGAGCAACGCCGCGUGAGUGAUGACGGCCUUCGGGUUGUAAAGCUCUGUUAAUCGGGACGAAAGGCCUUCUUGCGAAUAGUUAGAAGGAUUGACGGUACCGGAAUAGAAAGCCACGGCUAACUACGUGCCAGCAGCCGCGGUAAUACGUAGGUGGCAAGCGUUGUCCGGAAUUAUUGGGCGUAAAGCGCGCGCAGGCGGAUUGGUCAGUCUGUCUUAAAAGUUCGGGGCUUAACCCCGUGAUGGGAUGGAAACUGCCAAUCUAGAGUAUCGGAGAGGAAAGUGGAAUUCCUAGUGUAGCGGUGAAAUGCGUAGAUAUUAGGAAGAACACCAGUGGCGAAGGCGACUUUCUGGACGAAAACUGACGCUGAGGCGCGAAAGCCAGGGGAGCGAACGGGAUUAGAUACCCCGGUAGUCCUGGCCGUCAACUAUGNGUACUAGGUGUAGGAGGUAUCGACCCCUUCUGUGCCGGAGUUAACGCAAUAAGUACCCCGCCUGGGGAGUACGACCGCAAGGUUG
RNAcentral lists this ribosomal RNA (550 nucleotides) under uncultured bacterium. RNAcentral describes it as "bacterial SSU rRNA". It matches the Rfam family "Bacterial small subunit ribosomal RNA", at positions 355 to 896 of the family's 1533-position model. The record is from RNAcentral.